Molecule: ribosomal RNA, 1386 nt
Filed under: uncultured bacterium
Lineage: Bacteria
Description: bacterial SSU rRNA
Rfam family: Bacterial small subunit ribosomal RNA
Source: RNAcentral
AGAGUUUGAUCCUGGCUCAGGAUAAACGCUGGCGGCGUGCCUAAUACAUGCAAGUCGAUCGAUAGAAGUCCAGCUUGCUGGACGGAAAUAGAGGCGAACGGGUGAGUAAUACGUAAGCAACCUGCCCACGAAGACUGGGAUAAUCCCUGGAAACGGGGACUAAGACCGGAUAGGUACAGAGAUCGCAUGAUCUUUGUAUUAAAGGUGAGAGACACUGGUGGAUGGGCUUACGGUGCAUUAGCUGGAUGGUGAGGUAACGGCCCACCAUGGCGAUGAUGCAUAGCCGGGCUGAGAGGCUGAACGGCCACAUUGGGACUGAGACACGGCCCAGACUCCUACGGGAGGCAGCAGUAGGGGAUUUUCGGCAAUGGGGGAAACCCUGACCGAGCAACGCCGCGUGAGUGAUGAAGGUCUUCGGAUUGUAAAGCUCUGUUGUAAGGGAAGAACGGCAUCUAUAGAAUAGGUGAGUGACGGUACCUUACCAGAAAGCUACGGCUAACUACGUGCCAGCAGCCGCGGUAAUACGUAGGUAGCGAGCGUUAUCCGGAAUUAUUGGGCGUAAAGGGUGCGUAGGCGGCCUGUUAAGUUUAUGGUGAAAGCGUGGGGCUCAACCCCAUAAAGCCAUAGAUACUGGCAGGCUAGAGUACUGGAGAGGGUAGUGGAAUUCCAUGUGUAGCGGUAAAAUGCGUAGAUAUAUGGAGGAACACCGGUGGCGAAGGCGGCUACCUAGACAGAGACUGACGCUGAGGCACGAAAGCGUGGGGAGCAAAUAGGAUUAGAUACCCUAGUAGUCCACGCUGUAAACGAUGAAUGCUAGGUAUCGGGGCGACCCGGUGCCGAAACUAACGCGAUAAGCAUUCCGCCUGUGGAGUAUGCACGCAAGUGUGAAACAUAAAGGAAUUGACGGGGGCCCGCACAAGCGGUGGAGUAUGUGGUUUAAUUCGACGCAACGCGAAGAACCUUACCAGGCCUUGACAUCCCUUGCGAAAUCCUGGAGACAGGAGGGAGGCUAUCAAGGAGACAGGUGGUGCAUGGUUGUCGUCAGCUCGUGUCGUGAGAUGUUGGGUUAAGUCCCGCAACGAGCGCAACCCCUAUCUUCAGUAGCCAGCAGGUAAGGCUGGGCACUCUGGAGAGACUGCCAGGGAUAACCUGGAGGAAGGUGGGGACGACGUCAAAUCAUCAUGCCCCUUAUGAUCUGGGCGACACACGUGCUACAAUGGCGGUCACAGAGUGAGGCGAACCCGCGAGGGGGAGCAAACCACAAAAAGGCCGUCCCAGUUCGGACUGUAGUCUGCAACCCGACUACACGAAGCUGGAAUCGCUAGUAAUCGCGAAUCAGAAUGUCGCGGUGAAUACGUUCCCGGGUCUUGCACACACCGCCCGUCA